Non-coding RNA from Rhopilema esculentum, 1556 nucleotides. NCBI's taxonomy places the organism in Eukaryota, Metazoa, Cnidaria, Scyphozoa, Rhizostomeae, Rhizostomatidae. The record is from RefSeq and is a predicted model, not a curated record.
UGACAAUUUUCAAAUUAUCAUCACUUUAAAUGGUAUUCUUGGGUUUUGUAGAUUGUUUCAAAUUUGGAUAAAUAAAGAUAAUACCUGACAUUGAGUAAGAGGGAACGUAAGGUAGAUUUGCAAGUAGAAGGGCCAGUUUCUGUCUCUCGCAGCCAUGAUGAAAGACAAAUCUAAAGGCACAGUUUUGGAAGAACCUACGUAAUUUUAGUGUACAUCGGAACUACGAUCAAUGUAAACACUAAAUAAAUCCAUCCUUGACUAACGUGUCAUUUCCAACCCAGCGUGUCUUAUUUUACGUGCAGAGAACACGGAGCCAGUGAGAGAGACAGUGUGUUGCCUGUGUAACUCUGAUGUGAACUGAACUGAACUGACGUACAUAAAAAUUAACAUGCUUAUAUACAGAAAUGAAUAUCUAGAAUUAACACUAAUGAUGUAAGGAAAACAAAGGAUAGGAAGGGCUAGGCUAAGUGUGAAUAGUUUAUGAAUUGAGAUUUAGGUAGAUGUGUAGGGUUGAUGAUGGCCUAAACAAAAGAGAGGAAAUGUUGACAUAGUGAUAUGCUCGUAGCGUGUAGUGAUGAGGUAGUGAUGUGAAGAAAUUACUGUAGGUAAAAUAAACAAAGUAGAAAUGGAUGGCGAUAGGUGAGGAAAAAUUAGAAUGAAUGGAAUCACUACAUAGCUCCCCCCCUAGAAUGCAAGCGAUAGCGAAGGAUUCGAUAAAUGUUAGUAUGUGGUUAGCUGCGAAUAAUUAAGACGAUAGAAAUAUACGUAUAAAAAUUACUUAAAUGUUCGAAUGUCUAUUUGUUCGUUGACUUGCUUUCGUGUACCUUGCGAGGGUCUGCAAGCAGCGAUGAAAAUUGACUUGAAUUUGCGACGUAGUCCGAUGUUGAGCAAGGUUUUGUGAAUAGGUUUACCAGAAACCUGCGAUGAGUGAAUUGCCAAGGUUUUGUGAGUCGGGUGACCAAGAACCGGUAGAGUUGUUUUGCCAAGGUUUUAUGAGUAGGGUAACCAAGAACCUGCGAAGAGCGUGAGACACUGCCGAGCACCGGAGAGUGCCGUGGAGCUGCCGAGGAUGUGAGGCGAAUAGAGACACUUGUGUCCGAGUGCUGUGUUGUCUAGCUGAGCUCGAGUGUGUGGCAAUCCAGUUGAGUGAGUGAAUGUAGCUGACAAAUUCGGUUGAGUUGAGUUGGGUUGAAAAUAACGUCGAAGGAUGUUGUUUUUGAUCAUGUCGGUCACGUCGUGGUCACCAUUUUUAGUGUACAUCGGAACUACGAUCAAUGUAAACACUAAAUAAAUCCAUCCUUGACUAACGUGUCAUUUCCAAACCAGCGUGUCUUAUUUUACGUGCAGAGAACACGGAGCCAGUGAGAGAGACAGUGUGUUGCCUGUGUAACUCUGAUGUGAACUGAACUGAACUGACUUACAUAAAAAUUAACAUGCUUAUUUACAGAAAUGAAUAUCUAGAAUUAACACUAAUGAUGUAAGGAAAACAAAGGAUAGGAAGGGCUAGGCUAAGUGUGAAUAGUUUAUGAAUUGAGAUUUAGGUAGAUGUGUAGGGU